This 288-nucleotide long non-coding RNA is filed under the name Monodelphis domestica (gray short-tailed opossum). RNAcentral describes it as "lncRNA (ENSMODG00000032468.2)". Lineage: Eukaryota; Metazoa; Chordata; Mammalia; Didelphimorphia; Didelphidae. The record is from RNAcentral.
CUUGACCUCCUAACAACCUUAUAGCAGGGUCCAAGUAUCAUUAUUCCUAUUUUAAUGAUCAGGAAACUGAGGGUCAGAGAGAUGAAGAGGAUGGGCCAUGUUCACACAGCUUGUAAGUGGCAAAACCAAGAUUCCAACCCUUCUGAGUCCAGAAGGAAGGGAAGCCAGAGGAAGUGCCUGUUCCUAGCACCGACUUCUCUGCAGCUAGUGGACAAAAAGCCCUUAUUCCCCCCUCCCCCCGCCCCAUCCCCACAGAUGUCCAAAAAUAAAUAAAUAAAUAAAGACAGG